CAUUCCUCUAUUUGGCUUGUGAAGUCAUGAUGAAACCCUUCCUUGUCUCUCCCUCUCCCGAUAUGCGCCGCCGGCUCCCUUCCCUCGAUCUACGCUCGGCUCUUCCACUGCGGCACAACAAGGGAAGAAGAUGGGAUUGGCGGGCGAGCGGCUGCGGGGUGCGAGUGGGCGAGGGCCUGUGGCGCGGCGAAGAGGGGAUACUCCGGUGGGCUACCAGCAGCGACAGAGGCUUAGCACCUGCUUCUUCUCCUGAAGGGUCGUCGCCAACUCACUGCUGCUCAUAGAGGUGAGUCAAAUGUUGUAACAAUCUCUGUCAUUAUUUUGCUGCUCAGGUAGGAGUUCGAGAAAUCAUGAAUUACCUGACAGAUAAUGCAACCAAAACACAGGAAGAGAAACAUAUAUGGUGAUGAUGUCUAUCAUGCUUUUGCAGGUAGUAGUAUGCAUCCACACAAUUCAAAUUCAUGUUCUGGAAGGACAUUGACCAACUAACCAUGUAUUAAUUGUAUAGUUAAAUUUGUUGUUUUACUUUUAUCUGAACUGAGUUCUAACAAUCAAUAUUUGAUUCUGCUACACACUUUCAAGGACAGUUACAACAAUUCUGGAGCAUGUAUCGUCCUCAAUCCUCUGAUUUUGCUACCGUCAUUUCCAUAGUAUUCAAGAUGUAAAACCUCGACCUGUGGCUACUAUGAUUUGCAGGAAGUAAUUGUUUCCGAUGAAGAGUUAGAUCUAGGCGCCAUGGAUGACAACAAUUCAGUCUUUUAACUAAAUAUUUUGUCAUGUCCGCAAUCGGUUGGUUCAUUUAGCCUGAUAUGUAUCCACAUAACCAUCAGAUAAAAUAUUUCAUCAAGUAAUUAGUGGAAAUAUUGGAUAUAGAGAAUCAGCAUCACUGUUUGGAGGAGCUUCAUUUCUCAAACUUUCUGGAGCAGAUCAUCUUGGUCAUUUUCGAAGGAUGGGUGCUGGACUUGGCACAUUUCCCUGAGAGGAUUGCUUCAGUAAUAAAUGCUGGUUUUUUAUGGAAUUAUUUAUUUGUAUUAUGCACUGCAACCAAUUUUGAUUUUGUUCUCUGGUAAUCUACAGAACAUGAAUUCUAAUUGUGUCCAACCAUAAGG
Molecule: long non-coding RNA, 1109 nt
Organism: Triticum dicoccoides
Lineage: Eukaryota; Viridiplantae; Streptophyta; Magnoliopsida; Poales; Poaceae
Exons: 3
Source: RefSeq, a predicted model, not a curated record